Long non-coding RNA from Haliotis rufescens (red abalone), 455 nucleotides. RefSeq lists it as uncharacterized. The record is from RefSeq and is a predicted model, not a curated record. The transcript is spliced from 2 exons. Lineage: Eukaryota; Metazoa; Mollusca; Gastropoda; Lepetellida; Haliotidae.
GCAUGCAUAAGGUACCAAAUGGAGGAACGUAAGAAACUGUACAUUCAAGCAUGCAUAAGGUACCAAAUGGAGGAACACAAUAGACUGUACACUCAAGCAGGCAUAACAUACUAAAUGGAGGAACACAACAGACUGUACACCCAAGCAUGCAUAAGGUACCAAAUGGAGGAACGCAACAGAAGCAUGCAUUACGUACCAAAUUGAGGAACACAACAGACUGUACACCCAAGCAUGCAUAAGGUACCAAAUGGAGGAACGCAACAGAAGCAUGCAUUACGUACCAAAUUGAGGAACACAACAGACUGUACACCCAAGCAUGCAUAAGGUACCAAAUGGAGCAAUGCAACAGACUGUACAAAUAAGCGUUCAGAAAAUAAUCGUUACCAAAAGGAGGAAUGCAAUAGACUGUACAAUUAAAGCUUUUGAUUAAUAAAGUUGACAAAAUAGAAAAUACA